CCCAGAUCCGAAAAGCAGAAAAUCAGAAACACGCACCAAACCCAAAUCUGAAUCACACAUCCCUUCCCCUCCAUCUUCUUCGUCAUUCUUUUUUCUCACGCUCUCAUAUCCCGCUCCAUUGCCUCUUAAAUCCAAUCCAGGCCCAAAAACCCUAAUACCCAAAACACAAAUCCUAACCCCUCAGCUCCAAUACCCACAUCUCUUAUGCUCUGCUCUCGAUUUUGUACUUUUAUGUUCUGUGUUUGUGUGAAUUGACGAUUGUCUUAAUUUUUAUGAGGUUUGAGUUGAUUUUUCGAUCCAUGAUAGAUUUCCAAAUGCCCGGGUAGAAAUUUUGGUUUCCAAAUCGGCAAGCUGAGCAUGAAUCUUAUUUUUAGUUCAUCCUCGCGACUUUGCUUUGCCUCGUUUUGAAAGGUUUAGCAAAUAAUUGCUAGUUGUAGAGGUUUUGGUUUCCGGUACAUUUAGUUAAACUGGGUUAGGGAUUGUGGAAUUUGGCUGGUAAUGCUGCUCAGUGCUCACUCUCAG
Rosa chinensis is the source of this 522-nucleotide long non-coding RNA. RefSeq lists it as uncharacterized. The transcript has 3 exons. Lineage: Eukaryota; Viridiplantae; Streptophyta; Magnoliopsida; Rosales; Rosaceae. The record is from RefSeq and is a predicted model, not a curated record.